ACAAUGGUGGUUCAGUGGCAGAAUUCUGGCCUUCCACACAGGAGACCCAGGUUCGAUUCCCGGCCAGUGCA
Molecule: transfer RNA, 71 nt
Filed under: Loxodonta africana (African savanna elephant)
Lineage: Eukaryota; Metazoa; Chordata; Mammalia; Proboscidea; Elephantidae
Rfam family: tRNA
About the family: Transfer RNA (tRNA) molecules are approximately 80 nucleotides in length. Their secondary structure includes four short double-helical elements and three loops (D, anti-codon, and T loops).
Source: Rfam by way of RNAcentral